This 292-nucleotide ribosomal RNA is filed under the name uncultured bacterium. RNAcentral's name for it is "partial 16S ribosomal RNA". It matches the Rfam family "Bacterial small subunit ribosomal RNA", at positions 505 to 796 of the family's 1533-position model. The record is from RNAcentral.
GUGUCAUCAGCCGCGGUAAGACGAACCGAGCGAACGUUGUUCGGAAUCACUGGGCAUAAAGGGUGCGUAGGCGGGCCACCAAGUCUGCGGUGAAAUUCUCCGGCUCAACCGGAGUAGUGCCGCGGAUACUGGGGGCCUCGAGGGGGGUAGGGGCAUGCGGAACUCUGGGUGGAGCGGUGAAAUGCGUUGAGAUCCAGAGGAACUCCGGUGGCGAAGGCGGCAUGCUGGACCCUUUCUGACGCUGAGGCACGAAAGCCAGGGGAGCGAACGGGAUUAGAUACCCCAGUAGUCC